CUCACGACGGACCCUCCUGAGUUCCACAGUCUGAGGGAAUGAACCAAUUGUAGUUGUGGGGAGAACGGGAAGGUUGAGCUUUUUCUGCUGAGCAUCCAAUCUAGCAGAAACAUUGGUAGCACGGCGGUGGUCAGAGCCCUUCAAAGCAGCUGCCUGUAAGAAAUGUAUUUCUGGUUAAGAAUUGCUGUGUACUAACAUCCAAUUGAGCAUUUAUUGAGUAAAGCUCUGUUACUUACCGCCUUCUGAACCUCCUGAUUUGUCACUCUCGGUGAUGACUUCCUUGAGGCCAGAGCAGCAGCAUUGGCUGCAAAGUAAGCCUGUACACGAACAUGUCAAUACAAAUAAAAAAAAUAAUUUAGGUACAGACUGGGAGGACUCUGCUAAAGUUAAAAGGCCUCAGAGAAUGAAGGGAAAAGAACAGUGUCGAACCUCAUCCUUUUGACCUGCCAAAGCCUUGGCAAGGGCAUUGACCUCAACAACCUUUUGGGCAGCAAAUGCGAGCCAUGACUUGAUCUCAUCAUCGAGCUUAGUCUCAUUUACAAGAUCAACAGCAGUGUGCAUCAGCGAGCAGGAGGUUGACACCACGAGCUUGUCUGAACAUGUACAUAGUUAUUGAAUAACUUAUGCAGUGAGGAAGACAGAUAAUAAGAAUAUAUCUUUCACUGCUUACCCUUGCCAGCAACAGCCUCAAGAGACUGAAGAGUGCUGAGAGAUGCAGCAAGGUCAUCAGCCCAAAUGUUCCGCCCAUCUACAACUCCGGCAAAAAGGUAUUUUCCAGAGGGGAAGCUGCUCCUAAUAAGAUCAAGUGUCUUGGCUCCACGGAUGAGAUCAAAACCAUAAGCAGUCACACCACUCAAGGAUGUGAGAGUCCUGCAUUUGCAAAAGAAUGAGUGUUCAGUUUUCUUUCUCAACUAAAUUACUCGGAAAGGGACAUGAUGGUGAAGAAGAGGAUUUUUAAUACUGGAAAACAUACUUGUAGGAUUCAGCAGGAAUAUCAGCAAAGUAUGUCUCAAUAAGCACAUUCAAUCCAGAGAGUGCUGACUCCAGUUCAGCAUAUGCUGAAGAGAAUGCAGCCAAUUCAUGAGCAUCAAGGUCCUUAACAAGGGUAGGCUCAUCAAACUGAAUCCAUGAAGCACCAGCUGCCUUCAGCUCAGCAACAACCUCCCUGAAUGCAGAACAUACCACAUUAUAAACUAAAGAGGUUCAAGCUGAAAAAAGAAAUUUAGCUGUUUGAUAUGGAUGCUUACUUGUAGAUGGGAAGGAUGCUACCAAGAAGUGAAAGAAGAGAGAAAGACUUCUCCACACCCUUGGCAGGCUUAGAGAGCAACAAGUAGGAGACUGGUCCAAUAAGCACUGGGACAGUAUCAAUGCCGAGCUGCAUAAGGGGCAACAAAAUGCAAGUGAGCAGGCAUUAUUUUCACAAAAAAUAGCAUGCCACUUCCUUUACAGGGUAAAAAACACCACUGAAAAAAAAAAGAUCACUCUGGGAGUCCUAGUGUAUUACUAUUAUGCAAUUUGGAACAAGUAAUUUUAUGUGGCAGUUAUGCAUUAUGAUGUAGCACUACUUUCUUCAUGAUGGCAAAGUUUGCCUGUUCCAAGACGAUCCAUUUUUGGACUUCAAAUAAGGCUUGCAAAAGUCAACAAGUUACAAUUUACUCCAAUGUUGUGGAAUGUCCAUAUAUAUACUGAAGGAUUAAACCAGUAAAGGACUCAAAUAAGCCAUAUACUUGGUAUGACUGAAGAUCUAUUAACAAAAGUAGACACGCUAAACUAAUAAUAUACGUCGGAGUCAGAUCAUAUUCAGAUAGCUCGGAGACAUACACAUGGGAUGGUGCACUUUUCUCCUCUGUAUUACUAAAUCGCACAGGCAUACAAACUAUGACUAUAUAACAAAAUUACAGCUAGCUGAAACAGUACUGUGGUUACAGCUACAUACCGCCUUUGCCUCCUUGUACUCAGAGACAGCCUUGUGUGAAGCGUAUGAGAACUUGGUGCUUGGGCCGAGUUCAGGGACAAUAAAGUGGCUGCAAAGAGAAAGGUAAUAAAAAAAUGUUAGAUCAAUACCACAAAAGGCGACCUGUUGGUAAACAUUCAAGAGGUCGGAGUUGACUUACUAGUUUGUGUCAAACCACUUGGUCAUCUCCAUAGCAGGGACAGUGGCAUUUCCCCUGGCCAUUGAGAAGUAGGUGCUCAAACCAAUCUCACCUCCGGUCCAAGAGUAGCGCUCUGGGACAGCUCCAAGCAUGGCGGUCGUAUCAAGGACCUGGUCAUAGUAUGAGAAAGUGUUGCUGGGAAUGUACUUGAUCCCAG
Molecule: long non-coding RNA, 2310 nt
Filed under: Setaria viridis
Lineage: Eukaryota; Viridiplantae; Streptophyta; Magnoliopsida; Poales; Poaceae
Description: long non-coding RNA (SVIR_LNC010179)
Source: RNAcentral